GACGAACGCUGGCGGCGUGCUUAACACAUGCAAGUCGAACGGAAAGGCCUUUUCGGAGGUACUCGAGUGGCGAACGGGUGAGUAACACGUGGGUGAUCUGCCCUGCACUCUGGGAUAAGCCUGGGAAACUGGGUCUAAUACCGGAGAGGACCGCACUUUAGUGUGUGUGGUGGAAAGUUUUUUCGGUGUAGGAUGAGCCCGCGGCCUAUCAGCUUGUUGGUGGGGUAAUGGCCUACCAAGGCGGCGACGGGUAGCCGGACUGAGAGGUUGGUCGGCCACAUUGGGACUGAGAUACGGCCCAGACUCCUACGGGAGGCAGCAGUGGGGAAUAUUGCACAAUGGGCGCAAGCCUGAUGCAGCGACGCCGCGUGGGGGAUGACGGCCUUCGGGUUGUAAACUCCUUUCGCCAGGGACGAAGCGUUUUGUGACGGUACCUGGAGAAGAAGCACCGGCUAACUACGUG
RNAcentral lists this ribosomal RNA (463 nucleotides) under uncultured bacterium. Its description in RNAcentral is "partial 16S ribosomal RNA". It matches the Rfam family "Bacterial small subunit ribosomal RNA", at positions 28 to 507 of the family's 1533-position model. The record is from RNAcentral.